GCGCACGUGGUGAAAUUGGUAGACACGCCAUCUUGAGGGGGUGGUGGACUUACGUCCGUGGAAGUUCGAAUCUUCUCGUGCGCA
Reichenbachiella agariperforans is the source of this 84-nucleotide non-coding RNA. The record is from Rfam. NCBI's taxonomy places the organism in Bacteria, Pseudomonadati, Bacteroidota, Cytophagia, Cytophagales, Reichenbachiellaceae.